This 397-nucleotide ribosomal RNA is filed under the name uncultured bacterium. RNAcentral describes it as "partial 16S ribosomal RNA". It matches the Rfam family "Bacterial small subunit ribosomal RNA", at positions 523 to 918 of the family's 1533-position model. The record is from RNAcentral.
AUACGUAGGGGGCGAGCGUUGUCCGGAAUGAUUGGGCGUAAAGGGCGCGUAGGCGGCCCGGUAAGUCUGGAGUGAAAGUCCUGUUUUUAAGAUGGGAAUUGCUUUGGAUACUGUCGGGCUUGAGUGCAGGAGAGGUAAGUGGAAUUCCCAGUGUAGCGGUGAAAUGCGUAGAGAUUGGGAGGAACACCAGUGGCGAAGGCGACUUACUGGACUGUAACUGACGCUGAGGCGCGAAAGUGUGGGGAGCAAACAGGAUUAGAUACCCUGGUAGUCCACACUGUAAACGAUGGAUGCUAGGUGUAGGGGGUAUCGACCCCUUCUGUGCCGCAGUCAACACAAUAAGCAUUCCGCCUGGGGAGUACGGCCGCAAGGUUGAAACUCAAAGGAAUUGACGGGG